UCCGCUAAAAAGCGUAUACGCUUUAUUAAAAAAAAAAAAAAAAAUCUAUCGAUCUAUGGCCUCUGGCUAUUUUUAAUGGCCUAUACGGUCUAGGCAGAAAACGAGAGCUACCUAUUUAUUUUAUGUUUGAAGUCGCGACUUCUUCAGAAAAUAAUCCGCCGCUAUAAAUUUUUUCUUCUUUCUGUUUUGGUUGGAGGAAUUCCGUUUGAAUGUAGGCCACAUCUCGGUUUCGAACACGCUUUCCAAUAAUGUAUUGUGUAAGAAGGGAUAACAAUAACCUUCGCAGAUAAACUCGCUCACUCUUUCUUAUCCUACUUUGAGUCUUUUUAAGCUCCUUCCGCAGUUCAAACCCUUUUGUAAACCGGCUUGUUUUUUAUAUCCCCCAGCUCGAUACCUUUCUAAAUUAAUACGUGGCUAGUAUUAUUCCCAUAAAUUCUUUGUGUAGUAAAAGUAAGACCGUAAUCAAAUGCCAAGUUAUUUCUCUGGGCCGAAUAUUUUUGCGCUCGGAGCCUUAAAACGUACACACCGAUGGUGGCAUAAUUUAAGCUGUAGCGGUUCGAUAAUAAAAUUAUAGACGUAUUAAUUUAUUAUUUAAUUAUUCACCAGUUGGAAGCUGGGAAAGGUCUGGGUAUGAGCGCGGUCACGCAUUUUCCUCAUUGUUUACCAAUUCGAAAUACUGCCUUUUUAAAGUAGUAAAUAAAUUUUAUCUUCCAGAAGCUCCUUUCGAGGAUUUUUUUAAAAUCGUAAUUUAACGCGCAAAUCGAUUCUAAUUUAAAUAUGGCGGAAAUGUCACGGAAUGACGUCAUUUCGGAAACACCAACCCGAACGAAACAAAUUUGUAUUCAGCGGAGAUGCCGAAUUGGUAACUAGUUUUGUUUUUUUACUGCCAGACAAUAUAAUACGUAUAAAGAGCGAAUACAAAAUUCGGAAUUUGUGUAAGUCUAUAAAAAGAAGACUAGAAACCAAUAAUUAUUAAGGAUUUUUAUUUUUGCCAUAGAAUUUGGGAUGCCAGCCGUUGGUAAGAUGGUUAGACUGUUGGUCUUAGGUAAAGACAAGCGUCCUAUAGUCGCGUAUCUUAGUUAAUAGACCUAGGUAAUCUAGAAAAAUAGUCAUCGAUCGAAAGAAGGAAAUCGCCCGCCGCUCUUACGCUCUUAAUCUAAUUUAUAUCGUCCGAACACGAACAAUUUUCCAAUAAUUUUAUGUUUAGAAUACCAAAUUAAUUUUUUCUCUCUAAUUUUACGCGGAAAAACGUAUCUUUUCUAUAGAAUUUAGUACGAUUUAAAUGUAGAGUUUUAACUGGCAAAGGAAAAGAACAUUUUUUUCGAGACCGGUGAAACCAAAGUUGGCAAUUUAUAAACCAUUAAUUGUACUUCUGACGUAACCAGUUACCUACCCAGUGUAAAUUUUUAGAAACUAUUAAAAAAUAUCUGUUCCGUUUAUGUAUGAUGUAUAGGAGGCGAAGUCACCGUACAUAAUCCGAAUUUAACGAAGUCGGCCGAAGAAUUGGCUAACAAUCCAAUUUUAUCUGUUAGUUUCUUUCGCUUCUAAUUCCGCUUAUUCGCGUUAUACGCGGAGAAAACUUUAAUCCGCGGUCGACACCAAUAUCAGAAAAAAAAAAAAGAGAAAAAAUUAAGCGACCGAAGAAUUACACGGAAGACGGAUUUAGCAGUUAAUUAAGUGCAUCCAAAAUAAUUUCCUGGCAUAUAGGUGGUUCUUCUCGCGGCCAUCCAAUAAUAAUGGAACGAAUUAAAUUUUCAGUAGGCUUUUUACUCUUCUCUUUAAGAUAAAUAUUUAAUUCUUAAAUUAAAUUGUAAUUAAACGAAACGGUGGCUGGGUAUUAGCUCGGUUUAUCGAUCGCUUUUGAAUAACUUUGUUAAAAAGUCUCCUUUUCCUUUAUCAUAAUUACCUACUGUUUAUAAUUGCCACUUUUAAUUAGCACAGUUUCUAGUUUUGUCGAAACUGAAGAAAAUUCUUUUCAGAAGAAUUUUAUUACUUACUUUGCUUUUUUUUUUUCUUCUCGAUUUUCCGAGGUGGCCAAGGACUCCGGUGCCGUUUGGUAAGAUAAAAAAAAAAAAGUUUUGGUAAGACGGGACCACGCGAAUGUAGGCUACCGAAUAAACACCAAUAAAAUUAAAUAUGAUCCAGAAUAUUGGGAAUAUGUCGUACCAGAUCCGUAAUAUUUGUCACGGUGGUACGAAGUGUAUCCGAAUAUAUUAAAUUGGAGAAAUGGUCACGGAAUUUUGGAAAGAACAAAAUUGUGGAUUUUCUAACGUUUUUUAAUUCAAAAUGAGCAAAUUUUACGGUUACUUAAUACGGAAUUUAUGUAUUAGACGUUUUUAAAGUUUUCUACCAGAUUUUUAACCUUCCACACCAUUCCAAUUAGUUUUAGAUAAGAAAAUUAUACAUUUAGUCUAUAUAAAAUGAUUGGCGGUCAUUAAAAUGCCGUGACCAUAUAUACUUACGCAGCAUUUUUCUCGAAGGUCGAGUAUCGGCUACAUGGAGUAAAUUCGACGGUAGGUUAGUUAAUGGAGGUCAUCUAAUGUGUCUAGAUCUGUUUUUAAUUUAAAAUUGAUUAAAAAGAUUUUCCCUUAUAGAUCGCUUUAAAUCUUUAAUGAAAAUUCUCAACCGAGGUUUUCUGGGAAGUUGGAAAUAUAUAAUUUAAGUCGAUAAUAUUAGAAACUAAUAUGGGCGAAGGAAGCCAUCCAUCCACAGGAUAUUUUCGUAUAUUAAAAUAUGUUGGAAAAUAUUUAUGACCAUAAAAUUCCCACUUAAUUUUUCCAAGUAGAAAGCCGAUACAUUUUUAGACGGAAAAUUCAAAAUAUUUUUAACGAAUGGUGGAAGAAAACUUUUAAAUUUCUGGCCAGUAAAAUAUUUCGAUUAACAGCGUGGAUAGACGAAAGAUAUUUCGAUUUGAAUUUAAAUACUAAUUGCAUUUGACCUUAAUUAUCGAUAUUGACCCUGAUGGCCGAAGCCAGUAUUUAUUCCCCAAAUUGGUUUCCAAGCAUUUUCUAAUUUAAAAACCCUUCCGAAAUACUAGAAAAGUACUGUACAAAUUAUAUACCGUACUGUCGUAUUCUACCUACACUACACUACACUAGAUUCCGAGUUAAUUUUCUUAAUUGGUCGAGGCAAAUAUUUACAUAUCGGAAGAUUAUCACUUUAAAAUUAGAAGAUAUUUUUAUUUUAUAAAUGACUGGAUUAGCAAAGAAUUGUUAAUACGAAAGUUUUUCAAUUAACGUCUUAAACCAUUAUUAUUUAAAGAUGUAAUUACUAGAUACAGCUAAUUAUUAUCGACAUUAACUCGGACGUAGCUCGAUCUAAACAUUUCCAAGGAAGAGACCGGGUUAUCUCAGGGGCGAAAAAUUUUUAGACGUUUUGGAAGAGCAGGCAAAUUUCCUGGUCGAUUCCUGUAAAUCUAAGUGGUAUAAAGCGUGACUUAAAUAAGGCUACAUAGUGAUCCCAUCAGGCAGAAAGCGAAUGGUUAUUUUGUAACCGAUAAUCUGUUUUGGCCAGCGGCGUAAAAUGAGAUUUGGGUAGUGCCCAUUUCCAGCCACAGAGCGGAAAAGAUGCGGGUUAACCGCGAAAAGUCGCUCUUAUAACAAAUAGAAACAGUUUUUCUUUAGUAAUAGUCUGAAGGCCAAUCCGAUUACCCCCGACGGAAGAUGGAAACAAAUUGACCAAAUGCCUUUUAUCGAGCACUAAGUAAUAAGUUGAUUAGAUGGGAUUAGUAUUCCGACCAGAAGGAAAUCUUUGUCACCUAAUAAAUUCGCCAGUUAGAGUCGCUGCGCCUAUUUAAUUUAUCACAGUAUUAUUUUUUCACUCCAUCCUAAAUUGCCAAGUUUCUGGGAUAGAAUAGCUACAGAAUGUCAUUGUUCAAGAUUUUUGCAGCCAGCCUUCAUUAAGGACACUCGGCUAGUUUGAUUUUUAGCAGUCGCUAUUUACAUUGUGCUCUGACACUCCGAUAGGCAAAAAACACUGACAAAAGAAAAGAAAAAUUCCUAGUCGUUAUCAAUCAUUGUUUGUUCCUAUUGUUGACCCUAGAAGAAAGAAAGAGAGAGAGAGCAUCUGUUUGAACAUUAUUACAAACAUGGUUUCUAUUUGCAAAGAAGAAAUUUAAGGUAUGCAGAAGGAAUUGAAUGGCGUCGUUCAUUCGCUUUUUUUUUUGGCUCUCGACAUUCUUGUUCUAUCUGUAUCCAAAAGAAUUCUAGUUCAUCUCCACAAAUUAGUAGUCCAAGCGCAAUUUUUGGAAGGGGGCAGAAAAAAUCCCGGCAAACUGUACCGGAUUCGUUCGCUUUACAAAAAUUGGCAGGAAUUUCAAUUUUAUCCUUUUGGUACGUUUUAAACAUCGGUUGAUAAGCAGUUGGGUAAUUGUGACUAAGCCGUUUUCCUCGGGGAGCAAUCUGUUACAACACGCAAACUAUACGCAUUAAUUAAUUUCUGGCCAGCCAGUUGUCGCUCCGACAGCAAAAAGUGUACGGGAAGGUUAAAACGGCCUAGAAUCUCACCAAAUUCAUUUUCCACUCCAGUUUUCAAUUUCUUUUCGCUUCCGUUUCGGCUCUAGUCGAAAUUCAAUAAUCUCAUUUCGUAAACAAAAAACUUGCGAAAAUGGAUUCCACUUUAAUCGACGUUUACUUCCGACGCUCACUCCGAUCGCUGUAAAACGAUAUUAAUGAUGGCCCAUUAAAAUAUUAAAUUUUGAUAGUAGUACAAGUACCUUCAAUCGGAUUAAAUGUUUUCCAGACUCUUCCCGAAUUUAAUUCUAACAAGAUUUAAACUUCAAAUGCAAAUUCACUAACCGAUAUUUUAAGGCAUUUUUUUUUUUUUUUAAAUUUUAAACAUCGAAACUGGA
RNAcentral lists this long non-coding RNA (4849 nucleotides) under Androctonus crassicauda. The record is from RNAcentral. Lineage: Eukaryota; Metazoa; Arthropoda; Arachnida; Scorpiones; Buthidae.